GACCUCGGAUCAGGUAGGGAUACCCGCUGAACUUAAGCAUUUAGCGGGAGGAGUAAA
Molecule: ribosomal RNA, 57 nt
Filed under: Septoria glycines
Lineage: Eukaryota; Fungi; Ascomycota; Dothideomycetes; Mycosphaerellales; Mycosphaerellaceae
Description: partial 28S ribosomal RNA
Source: RNAcentral